Molecule: transfer RNA, 73 nt
Filed under: Salmo salar (Atlantic salmon)
Lineage: Eukaryota; Metazoa; Chordata; Actinopteri; Salmoniformes; Salmonidae
Rfam family: tRNA
About the family: Transfer RNA (tRNA) molecules are approximately 80 nucleotides in length. Their secondary structure includes four short double-helical elements and three loops (D, anti-codon, and T loops). Further hydrogen bonds mediate the characteristic L-shaped molecular structure. tRNAs have two regions of fundamental functional importance: the anti-codon, which is responsible for specific mRNA codon recognition, and the 3' end, to which the tRNAs corresponding amino acid is attached (by aminoacyl-tRNA synthetases). tRNAs cope with the degeneracy of the genetic code in two manners: having more than one tRNA (with a specific anti-codon) for a particular amino acid; and 'wobble' base-pairing, i.e. permitting non-standard base-pairing at the 3rd anti-codon position.
Source: Rfam by way of RNAcentral
GUCCCUGUGGCUUAGUUGGUAGAGCAUGGUGUGUGCAACGCCAGGGUUGUGGGUUCGAUUCCCACGGGGGACC